Arachis ipaensis is the source of this 3377-nucleotide non-coding RNA. The record is from RefSeq and is a predicted model, not a curated record. NCBI's taxonomy places the organism in Eukaryota, Viridiplantae, Streptophyta, Magnoliopsida, Fabales, Fabaceae.
UCUCUCGACCUCCAUUCACACUCCACACACACGAGCUGCUUCAUCUCCAUCGGAAAAUAUUCUUCCUCUCUCCAUGGUACGAGCUGCUUCUUCUCUCUGUCGCACGAGCUUCUUCUGCCGCUGCCGUUGCCGCCGCCGCUUGCGUAUCUCUCUGUCAUCCCUUGCGUCGCACGAGCUCCCUCCGCCGUCGCUCUCGUUGCGUCUACUCCCAUCGUCACAGAACUCUCUCUACCGCCGCUCUCAUUGCAUCUGCUCCCUUUGUCACCUCUUCCAUCUGAUCUCAACUCGCUCUCUCAAUUCUUCUUGUAACCAUCUGGAAUUUCAGCAGGUUGGUUGGUAAGGGAGCCAUGAAUAGCGUCUUCAGCGAGCAGAUAUUCGAUGACAAGCUGUCCAAGCUUAAUAGCACCCAGCAAUGCAUUGAAAGGUCUUGAUGUUUACAACUCAAAGCAAAUAACAACAAUUGCUCCAACAAUUUAUCUCAAAAUGGCAGGACGACCACCUUUGCUUCCAUCCAAUCAACUUUUUUACCCAAAGAACUUCCUAUAUAUGCUUGAUUCUCUGUAUGUCUAAUUGUUCUUUCUGUCAGGUUAUUGAUGAAACACUUAGACCUGGGGGAAUUGCAAUUUGGCUGAUGAAAGAAGCAAAAGAAGACAUUAAAUACCAAGUUCCAUUUCUUUUAGCAGUCUAUUUAGAUGAGAAUGUGUAUAAUGGAGCUCUAAACUUCAAUCCUUGGCGAUGGAUGGAACCUGAAAAUGAGGUCCUAAUUACUAUAUCUGCUUAAAAUAAUGAAGGAGAAGAGAAACAGGAGAACUAGUCCAUUCUAUGCACCCUUUGGAGGAGGUGCAAGAUUCUGUCCUGGAGCCGAGCUUGCUCGCUUUUAUAUUGCGCUUUUUUUUUAUUACUUUGAAACUACAUACAGGUAAUGCCACCCUCUAGUGCAUAGUUAGUUACAUGAAUUCUGCUAUCAAAUUGGUGUAAAAUUUUAUGCAACUAAAACUAAUCAGAUAUCGCAAAUGAAUUUCAUUAAUUUUUCUUCAUUAUGUACUUAGUUCUUCAUUAUGUACUUUGUCAUGUUCUGUUUCUUAGAAAACUAGUUAUUAUAGAUGGAUAUUUUCGACAGAUUUUAUCUCACAAAAACAGAAUUUGCGAGGGAUUUUUUGUCGGAAACCAAAAAAAAUGAAUUAGCAUAAACUACAGAUGGAAAAGAGAAUCCGUCAAUAAUUCUGUCAAAAAAAUAAUUUAUUUUUGUGGUAAAUGGUUACCGACGAAAAAUCCGUCUGUAAUUAAAUGGAGAAAAAUGCUGCGUUUUAUUAAAUUAUUACCGACAGAAAAUCUGUUUGUAAUUUAAAAUAUUCCAUCGAAAAUACUGAGUUAACCCUAACUCAGACCCUACCCUCUUGAUCUCCAUUCACACUCCACACAAGUGAAGAUCUUCUUCCUCUCUCCGUCCAUGCUCUCUCUAUCGCACGAGCUUCUUUCACCGCUGCCGCCGCCGCUCGCGUCGCCCAAUCUCAUCAUUCACCUCAGCAACGGCCAUUUGCUGGUUAUCCUAAUCCACCGGUUUAGGAAUCAUUACACUCAUCCUUCAUGGAAGAUCUCUACCUCUGGUGGUCACGGAGGUAGUUGCGUCGUCGUCAUUCUCACCGCUCUGGGCCCAGCCGCUUCUUUCAUGCAUGGUGUCAUCUCCCUCCAACUUUGCGACGGUGCCGCUGGCUGUCGCCUGGCCAACCGCAGCCUUUGUAAAUGAGUAAUGUGGCUUUGGCGAUGGGCGAUUCAACCCCUCCACUGCUACUCUGCCGCCCUGGAUGGAAACUUCCUCCUCGGCCCAAGCCGUUUCCUCCAAAUGUGCCGAAUGUAGAUCCAGGUGUUCUUCUCUUGUGUGUUCUAGAACGAGAGGUAAUUUUGAUUGUAGUUUUGGAUUUGAAUUCUGGAAUCCUACUUGAACUGAAAUUGCUCUUGAUUUUACUAGUUGAAAUUCAAAAUUGAAAGCUAAUUCUUCUUCUUCAGCCAAAUCUGUUGCUUCUUCUUCAUUUUCUGCAUAAAUAGACAAAGAUGAAUGCUGAAUUAUUGCUCGAUCUGCCAGCUCUAUUGAUUUUGUUUGUUGUUGAGGUUAAAAUGUAAAAUUGAAAUCUGAUGAGUCUCUUUCUUCUCCUUUGAUGUGAACUUCUUCUGUAAGUUUUGGAUUCCUUGCUGAUUCUGAAGCUUUGGAUAUUGUAUGUUGACUCUAAUUCUGCAAUUUUAUAUUCUAAAUCUAAAUUCUAAAAUUGGAGAUAUGUGAUUAUUGAAUUUUCUGCUGCUAGCUUUGCUGAAUUGUUGCUGAGUAGUAAAAAUUCUGCGUUUAAUUUGGCUUGAAUCUGGAAAAUUGGAGGCUCCUAGAGUUGUUGAUGAUCAUUGAUUUGGCUGUGGUUACUGUUCUAAGGUCAUAUAAUGAGACUGCAUUUUUGGUUAGUCAAAAUUAUCCUUGUGCCUUCUGAUUUGCCUUGUGCCUUCUAAUUUGCACUCUAGAUCGUUUUUUUUUUUUUUGUGUCAAAGUUUAUGUACAAAGAAUGAAUGAUGAUGAUGAUGUGAGCUCUGAGUAAAUUUGUAGAUCAUAAUUUAUGCCUUUUUUAAUCUGUUGCUGUUGAUGCUUUUCUUUUCUUUUUCUUUUUUUUUUUUCACUUUUUUUUCUUUUGCCGUUAUUCCAUCCUAUGUAAAUAUAUUAACGCAUGCAAGAAAAUCUGCCUAAGUACAUUAUAAGAUCUCAAUUGUAAAGACUAACGAUUCAUUUUCUAGCACCUUGUUUGGUAAUUUAGUGCUUCAGUUUACAAUAUGUCAAUCUUUGUUUAUGUAUAUCUUGUUUUUGAUAAUGUGAGCAAUUAUUGUUUGGAGACUGAGGCCACUUUCACCUUUGAUUUUUUUACAUUGGUUUUGGAAUUUGCUUCUAAUGUGUUUUGUUUAACUUAUAAUAUUUUCUAUUUGUUCAUUUAUUCCAAUGCUCCACGGCUUAACUAUUGCAUUUACAUGUUUGUUAAUUUAUGCCAAUGCUCCUCGACAUGGUCCUCUCUACCUUCAUUAAUCUCAUAUUCCUGUUCCAUUUUCCCAGCAUUUUUCAUUAGUCUCUGAAAUAGAUACCCACACUUUGAUAACUCCUCAAAGUAAUAUAAGCAUUCCAUUUGGUGUGAGCGCUGCUUAAGAAUCCAAUGCUUUGUUAUAGCUUCUAGAUUAGGUGUGAUGUUGAUAUUAUGUCGUAGCUAUUAUGCUUAUGUUUUUGUGGUUUUUGCACACAAUUUCGUAAUGGUUCCACUUGGUACUAGGUAUCUGAUGUUCGGAUGCUGCCUUCUCUAUAGCCGCUUCUGCUAUUUUUGUUUGGAGUAACCAACGAGGUUUACUCAACUUCG